This 305-nucleotide ribosomal RNA is filed under the name uncultured bacterium. RNAcentral's name for it is "bacterial SSU rRNA". It matches the Rfam family "Bacterial small subunit ribosomal RNA", at positions 335 to 658 of the family's 1533-position model. The record is from RNAcentral.
UCCCUACGGGGGGCAGCAGUGGGGAAUAUUGCACAAUGGGCGAAGGCCUGAUGCAGCAACGCCGCGUGGGUGAAGAAGCGCCUCGGCGCGUAAAGCCCUGUCAGCAGGGAAGAAAAUGACGGUGCCUGAAGAAGAAGCCCCGGCUAACUACGUGCCAGCAGCCGCGGUAAUACGUAGGGGGCAAGCGUUAUCCGGAUUUACUGGGUGUAAAGGGGGCGCAGACGGCGACGCAAGCCAGGAGUGAAAGCCCGGGGCCCAACCCCGGGACUGCUCUUGGAACUGCGUGGCUGGAGUGCAGGAGGGGG